AUGUCCUGCUUCAAGCUACCUCGUGGUCUAUGUGAACAUAUAAAUGCUUUCAUUAGAAAGUUUUGGUGGCAAAGUAAGUAGGGAGAAAUGAAGACUAGUUUGGUUUCUUGGGAGGUGAUAACGAGGCCAAAGUAUAUAGGAGGCCUCGGUUUUAGAGAUAUAGAGUUGUUUAAUCUUGCUAUGUUGGCUCGUCCGAGGUGGCAUAUCUUAUUAGAUCAAAAAACCCUAGGUGUCAGAAUUCUCAAAACUUGUUAUUUUUCCAAUGUGAUUUUUUUGAAUGCGUGGUUGGGAGGAGCCCCCUUUCAAAUUUAGCGCGCUAUUUUGGAGGUAAGGGACAGCAUACAGGGCCUCACUAGGCCCAUCAAAGACGGCAAUCGAACUCAUAUUUGGACAUAAAAUGGCUUCCAUGGCAAUUCAGCAUGCGAUCGCUAA
Molecule: ribosomal RNA, 432 nt
Filed under: Triticum aestivum (bread wheat)
Lineage: Eukaryota; Viridiplantae; Streptophyta; Magnoliopsida; Poales; Poaceae
Description: partial small subunit ribosomal RNA
Source: RNAcentral